Molecule: ribosomal RNA, 329 nt
Filed under: uncultured Lewinella sp.
Lineage: Bacteria; Pseudomonadati; Bacteroidota; Saprospiria; Saprospirales; Lewinellaceae
Description: bacterial SSU rRNA
Rfam family: Bacterial small subunit ribosomal RNA
Source: RNAcentral
UGCGUAGGCGGCUUGGUAAGUCAGGAGUGAAAGUUUGCGGCUCAACCGUAAAAUUGCUUUUGAUACUGCCAGGCUAGAAUCAGGAUGAGGUCAGCGGAAUGUGGCAUGUAGCGGUGAAAUGCAUAGAUAUGCCAUAGAACACCUAUUGCGAAGGCAGCUGGCUAGACCUGUAUUGACGCUGAGGCACGAAAGCGUGGGGAGCGAACAGGAUUAGAUACCCUGGUAGUCCACGCCCUAAACGAUGCUUACUCGACGUAUGGCGCUAGUCGUUGUGCGUCCAAGGGAAACCGUUAAGUAAGCCACCUGGGGAGUACGACCGCAAGGUUGAA